Molecule: ribosomal RNA, 515 nt
Filed under: uncultured bacterium
Lineage: Bacteria
Description: partial 16S ribosomal RNA
Rfam family: Bacterial small subunit ribosomal RNA
Source: RNAcentral
GAUGAACGCUGGCGGCGUGCCUAAUACAUGCAAGUCGAGCGAAUGGAUUAAGAGCUUGCUCUUAUGAAGUUAGCGGCGGACGGGAGAGUAACACGUGGGUAACCUGCCCAUAAGACUGGGAUAACUCCGGGAAACCGGGGCUAAUACCGGAUAACAUUUUGAACCGCAUGGUUCGAAAUUGAAAGGCGGCUUCGGCUGUCACUUAUGGAUGGACCCGCGUCGCAUUAGCUAGUUGGUGAGGUAACGGCUCACCAAGGCAACGAUGCGUAGCCGACCUGGGAGGGUGAUCGGCCACACUGGGACUGGGACACGGCCCAGACUCCUACGGGAGGCAGCAGUAGGGAAUCUUCCGCAAUGGACGAAAGUCUGACGGAGCAACGCCGCGUGAGUGAUGAAGGCUUUCGGGUCGUAAAACUCUGUUGUUAGGGAAGAACAAGUGCUAGUUGAAUAAGCUGGCACCUUGACGGUACCUAACCAGAAAGCCACGGCUAACUACGUGCCAGCAGCCGCAGUAA